This 497-nucleotide ribosomal RNA is filed under the name uncultured bacterium. Its description in RNAcentral is "partial 16S ribosomal RNA". It matches the Rfam family "Bacterial small subunit ribosomal RNA", at positions 28 to 507 of the family's 1533-position model. The record is from RNAcentral.
GACGAACGCUGGCGGCGUGCCUAAUACAUGCAAGUUGAGCGCUGAAGGUUGGUACUUGUACCAACUGGAUGAGCAGCGAACGGGUGAGUAACGCGUGGGGAAUCUGCCUUUGAGCGGGGGACAACAUUUGGAAACGAAUGCUAAUACCGCAUAAAAACUUUAAACACAAGUUUUAAGUUUGAAAGAUGCAAUUGCAUCACUCAAAGAUGAUCCCGCGUUGUAUUAGCUAGUUGGUGAGGUAAAGGCUCACCAAGGCGAUGAUACAUAGCCGACCUGAGAGGGUGAUCGGCCACAUUGGGACUGAGACACGGCCCAAACUCCUACGGGAGGCAGCAGUAGGGAAUCUUCGGCAAUGGACGAAAGUCUGACCGAGCAACGCCGCGUGAGUGACGAAGGUUUUCGGAUCGGAAAACUCGGUUGGUAGAGAAGAACGUUGGUGAGAGUGGAAAGCUCAUCAAGUGACGGUAACUACCCAGAAAGGGACGGCUAACUACGUG